Molecule: long non-coding RNA, 579 nt
Filed under: Chinchilla lanigera (long-tailed chinchilla)
Lineage: Eukaryota; Metazoa; Chordata; Mammalia; Rodentia; Chinchillidae
Description: lncRNA (ENSCLAG00000024601.1)
Source: RNAcentral
GCUGGUUUCCACACCUUCAUUGCACGGCCUGAGAAAAGAAUAUAAAAGCUGCUUUGGGAAGUAAAGAAGGCAAAGAAUAAAGACAAAGAAACGAUGGCAGUGGUGGAGAGAAAAGAAAUGAGAGAAGGUCACCAUGAUGGGGAGAGGAAACAGAGACUUUUCUGCUGGAGAAGGGCAGAAGAUGGCAGCUGAUAUGCAGUGGAUGACAUCCAGGGGCAUCUGCCUCUGGAAACAUCAGGUCAUAUGGCAUCCCACUCCUUCGAAACGGUUUCUUGGUCAAAUGACAAUCAAGAGCUUCAAGAAAACCCCAAGACUAUACAAACAAUGUGAGAAAUACUUGGAGGAUUGGAAUACAACUGGAAAUUUUGGUCUAGCAUGUCUGCGGUUGUCCCUGUGAUUUAAAGUAGCACAUACAGUACCAUAUGCGAUUAGUUGGCUGUGGAGCAGGGCCUGAGGCAUGGACAACUGUGCGGUGGAAUGAAUUUGCAGCUGCUUCUCAAGCUCUUCAAGGGGAUUUCCUGCAGAAAGUCUUACCAGGACUGAUUGGGUAAUAUAAAAAGGUAACCCUCAACACUUAAC